AGAGUUUGAUCAUGGCUCAGAUUGAACGCUGGCGGCAGGCCUAACACAUGCAAGUCGAACGGUAACAGGAAGCAGCUUGCUGCUUUGCUGACGAGUGGCGGACGGGUGAGUAAUGUCUGGGAAACUGCCUGAUGGAGGGGGAUAACUACUGGAAACGGUAGCUAAUACCGCAUAACGUCGCAAGACCAAAGAGGGGGACCUUCGGGCCUCUUGCCAUCGGAUGUGCCCAGAUGGGAUUAGCUAGUAGGUGGGGUAACGGCUCACCUAGGCGACGAUCCCUAGCUGGUCUGAGAGGAUGACCAGCCACACUGGAACUGAGACACGGUCCAGACUCCUACGGGAGGCAGCAGUGGGGAAUAUUGCACAAUGGGCGCAAGCCUGAUGCAGCCAUGCCGCGUGUAUGAAGAAGGGGCCUUCGGGUUUUAAAGUACUUUCGCGGGGAGGAAGGGAAAGUACUUUCAGCGGGGAGGAAGGGAGUAAAGUUAAUACCUUUGCUCAUUGACGUUACCCGCAGAAGAAGCACCGGCUAACUCCGUGCCAGCAGCCGCGGUAAUACGGAGGGUGCAAGCGUUAAUCGGAAUUACUGGGCGUAAAGCGCACGCAGGCGGUUUGUUAAGUCAGAUGUGAAAUCCCCGGGCUCAACCUGGGAACUGCAUCUGAUACUGGCAAGCUUGAGUCUCGUAGAGGGGGGUAGAAUUCCAGGUGUAGCGGUGAAAUGCGUAGAGAUCUGGAGGAAUACCGGUGGCGAAGGCGGCCCCCUGGACGAAGACUGACGCUCAGGUGCGAAAGCGUGGGGAGCAAACAGGAUUAGAUACCCUGGUAGUCCACGCCGUAAACGAUGUCGACUUGGAGGUUGUGCCCUUGAGGCGUGGCUUCCGGAGCUAACGCGUUAAGUCGACCGCCUGGGGAGUACGGCCGCAAGGUUAAAACUCAAAUGAAUUGACGGGGGCCCGCACAAGCGGUGGAGCAUGUGGUUUAAUUCGAUGCAACGCGAAGAACCUUACCUGGUCUUGACAUCCACGGAAGUUUUCAGAGAUGAGAAUGUGCCUUCGGGAACCGUGAGACAGGUGCUGCAUGGCUGUCGUCAGCUCGUGUUGUGAAAUGUUGGGUUAAGUCCCGCAACGAGCGCAACCCUUAUCCUUUGUUGCCAGCGGUCCGGCCGGGAACUCAAAGGAGACUGCCAGUGAUAAACUGGAGGAAGGUGGGGAUGACGUCAAGUCAUCAUGGCCCUUACGACCAGGGCUACACACGUGCUACAAUGGCGCAUACAAAGUGAAGCGACCUCGCGAGAGCAAGCGGACCUCAUAAAGUGCGUCGUAGUCCGGAUUGGAGUCUGCAACUCGACUCCAUGAAGUCGGAAUCGCUAGUAAUCGUGGAUCAGAAUGCCACGGUGAAUACGUUCCCGGGCCUUGUACACACCGCCCGUCACACCAUGGGAGUGGGUUGCAAAAGAAGUAGGUAGCUUAACCUUCGGGAGGGCGCUUACCACUUUGUGAUUCAUGACUGGGGUGAAGUCGUAACAAGGUAACCGUAGGGGAACCUGCGGUUG
Molecule: ribosomal RNA, 1549 nt
Filed under: Escherichia coli TOP291
Lineage: Bacteria; Pseudomonadati; Pseudomonadota; Gammaproteobacteria; Enterobacterales; Enterobacteriaceae
Description: bacterial SSU rRNA
Rfam family: Bacterial small subunit ribosomal RNA
Source: RNAcentral